Molecule: long non-coding RNA, 199 nt
Filed under: Amborella trichopoda
Lineage: Eukaryota; Viridiplantae; Streptophyta; Magnoliopsida; Amborellales; Amborellaceae
Description: long non-coding RNA (ATRI_LNC000952)
Source: RNAcentral
GUAGAGAGGUCCCCAACUUCGAUUCUCGUCCCUUUAGCAUCUCCGAUCCGAGAUCAGGGAUUACUCCGUUAGGUCUUUUCUUCGGUCCGGAGCCGGCCGGUAGCUGGUAAUGGACCUACUUACCUUGUCAGUAGCAGAGCUCACCUUUGUUCUUUGGUUUGGUGGGUGGCUACCAAGACGAUUUCUUUAUGCCCAUCAA